RNAcentral lists this ribosomal RNA (1756 nucleotides) under Staphylococcus aureus. Its description in RNAcentral is "partial 23S ribosomal RNA". It matches the Rfam family "Bacterial large subunit ribosomal RNA", at positions 636 to 2393 of the family's 2925-position model. The record is from RNAcentral. Lineage: Bacteria; Bacillati; Bacillota; Bacilli; Caryophanales; Staphylococcaceae.
UGAUGCAAGGUUAAGCAGUAAAUGUGGAGCCGUAGCGAAAGCGAGUCUGAAUAGGGCGUUUAGUAUUUGGUCGUAGACCCGAAACCAGGUGAUCUACCCUUGGUCAGGUUGAAGUUCAGGUAACACUGAAUGGAGGACCGAACCGACUUACGUUGAAAAGUGAGCGGAUGAACUGAGGGUAGCGGAGAAAUUCCAAUCGAACCUGGAGAUAGCUGGUUCUCUCCGAAAUAGCUUUAGGGCUAGCCUCAAGUGAUGAUUAUUGGAGGUAGAGCACUGUUUGGACGAGGGGCCCCUCUCGGGUUACCGAAUUCAGACAAACUCCGAAUGCCAAUUAAUUUAACUUGGGAGUCAGAACAUGGGUGAUAAGGUCCGUGUUCGAAAGGGAAACAGCCCAGACCACCAGCUAAGGUCCCAAAAUAUAUGUUAAGUGGAAAAGGAUGUGGCGUUGCCCAGACAACUAGGAUGUUGGCUUAGAAGCAGCCAUCAUUUAAAGAGUGCGUAAUAGCUCACUAGUCGAGUGACACUGCGCCGAAAAUGUACCGGGGCUAAACAUAUUACCGAAGCUGUGGAUUGUCCUUUGGACAAUGGUAGGAGAGCGUUCUAAGGGCGUUGAAGCAUGAUCGUAAGGACAUGUGGAGCGCUUAGAAGUGAGAAUGCCGGUGUGAGUAGCGAAAGACGGGUGAGAAUCCCGUCCACCGAUUGACUAAGGUUUCCAGAGGAAGGCUCGUCCGCUCCGGGUUAGUCGGGUCCUAAGCUGAGGCCGACAGGCGUAGGCGAUGGAUAACAGGUUGAUAUUCCUGUACCACCUAUAAUCGUUUUAAUCGAUGGGGGGACGCAGUAGGAUAGGCGAAGCGUGCGAUUGGAUUGCACGUCUAAGCAGUAAGGCUGAGUAUUAGGCAAAUCCGGUACUCGUUAAGGCUGAGCUGUGAUGGGGAGAAGACAUUGUGUCUUCGAGUCGUUGAUUUCACACUGCCGAGAAAAGCCUCUAGAUAGAAAAUAGGUGCCCGUACCGCAAACCGACACAGGUAGUCAAGAUGAGAAUUCUAAGGUGAGCGAGCGAACUCUCGUUAAGGAACUCGGCAAAAUGACCCCGUAACUUCGGGAGAAGGGGUGCUCUUUAGGGUUAACGCCCAGAAGAGCCGCAGUGAAUAGGCCCAAGCGACUGUUUAUCAAAAACACAGGUCUCUGCUAAACCGUAAGGUGAUGUAUAGGGGCUGACGCCUGCCCGGUGCUGGAAGGUUAAGAGGAGUGGUUAGCUUCUGCGAAGCUACGAAUCGAAGCCCCAGUAAACGGCGGCCGUAACUAUAACGGUCCUAAGGUAGCGAAAUUCCUUGUCGGGUAAGUUCCGACCCGCACGAAAGGCGUAACGAUUUGGGCACUGUCUCAACGAGAGACUCGGUGAAAUCAUAGUACCUGUGAAGAUGCAGGUUACCCGCGACAGGACGGAAAGACCCCGUGGAGCUUUACUGUAGCCUGAUAUUGAAAUUCGGCACAGCUUGUACAGGAUAGGUAGGAGCCUUUGAAACGUGAGCGCUAGCUUACGUGGAGGCGCUGGUGGGAUACUACCCUAGCUGUGUUGGCUUUCUAACCCGCACCACUUAUCGUGGUGGGAGACAGUGUCAGGCGGGCAGUUUGACUGGGGCGGUCGCCUCCUAAAAGGUAACGGAGGCGCUCAAAGGUUCCCUCAGAAUGGUUGGAAAUCAUUCAUAGAGUGUAAAGGCAUAAGGGAGCUUGACUGCGAGACCUACAAGUCGAG